GACGAACGCUGGCGGCGUGCUUAACACGCGCAAGUCGAACGAUGAAGCCUGAGCUUGCUCCGGUGGAUUACUCGCGAACGGGUGAGUAACACGUGAGCAAUCUGCCCUUGACUCUGUGAUAACUGCGGGAAACUGUAGCUAAUACCGGAUACGACACCUUGGGGCAUCCCAGGGUGUGGAAAGAAUUUCGGUCAAGGAUGAGCUCGCGGCCUAUCAGCUAGUUGGUGAGGUAAUGGCUCACCAAGGCGACGACGGGUAACCGGCCUGAGAGGGUGACCGGCCACACUGGAACUGAGACACGGUCCAGACUCCUACGGGAGGCAGCAGUGGGGAAUAUUGCACAAUGGGCGAAAGCCUGAUGCAGCAACGCCGCGUGAGGGAUGAAGGCCUUCGGGUUGUAAACCUCUUUUAGCAGGGAAGAAGCGAAAGUGACGGUACCUGCAGAAAAAGCACCGGCUAACUACGUGCCAGCCGCCGCCGUAA
RNAcentral lists this ribosomal RNA (483 nucleotides) under uncultured bacterium. RNAcentral's name for it is "partial 16S ribosomal RNA". It matches the Rfam family "Bacterial small subunit ribosomal RNA", at positions 28 to 523 of the family's 1533-position model. The record is from RNAcentral.